AGUGAACGCUGGCGGUAGGCCUAACACAUGCAAGUCGAACGGCAGCACAGGAGAGCUUGCUCUCUGGGUGGCGAGUGGCGGACGGGUGAGGAAUACAUCGGAAUCUACUCUGUCGUGGGGGAUAACGUAGGGAAACUUACGCUAAUACCGCAUACGACCUACGGGUGAAAGCAGGGGACCUUCGGGCCUUGCGCGAUUGAAUGAGCCGAUGUCGGAUUAGCUAGUUGGCGGGGUAAAGGCCCACCAAGGCGACGAUCCGUAGCUGGUCUGAGAGGAUGGUCAGCCACACUGGAACUGUGACACGGUCCAGACUCCUACGGGAGGCAGCAGUGGGGAAUAGUGGACAAUGGGCGCAAGCCUGAUCCAGCCAUACCGCGUGGGUGAAGAAGGCCUUCGGGUUGUAAAGCCCUUUUGUUGGGAAAGAAAUCCAGCUGGCUAAUACCCGGUUGGGAUGACGGUACCCAAAGAAUAAGCACCGGCUAACUUCGUGCCAGCAGCCGCCGUAA
This 506-nucleotide ribosomal RNA is filed under the name uncultured bacterium. RNAcentral describes it as "partial 16S ribosomal RNA". It matches the Rfam family "Bacterial small subunit ribosomal RNA", at positions 29 to 523 of the family's 1533-position model. The record is from RNAcentral.